GCCCUGGUGGUGUAAUGGUAGCCACGCUGGUCUUAGAAGCCAGUGCUUAAUAGCGUGCGAGUUCGAGUCUCGCCUAGGGCACCA
This 84-nucleotide transfer RNA is filed under the name Chitinophagia bacterium. Its description in RNAcentral is "tRNA-Leu". It matches the Rfam family "tRNA". Rfam says of the family: Transfer RNA (tRNA) molecules are approximately 80 nucleotides in length. Lineage: Bacteria; Pseudomonadati; Bacteroidota; Chitinophagia. The record is from RNAcentral.